CCUACGGGUGGCUGCAGUGAGGAAUAUUGGUCAAUGGGCUUACGCCUGAACCAGCCAAGUCGCGUGAGGGAGGACGGCCCUACGGGUUGUAAACCUCUUUUGCCGGGGAGCAACGGGCGUCACGUGUGGCGCCACUGAGAGUACCCGGAGAAAAAGCAUCGGCUAACUCCGUGCCAGCAGCCGCGGUAAUACGGAGGAUGCGAGCGUUAUCCGGAUUUAUUGGGUUUAAAGGGUGCGUAGGCGGAUCGUUAAGUCAGUGGUCAAAUUGAGGGGCUCAACCCCUUCCCGCCAUUGAAACUGGCGUUCUUGAGUGGAAGAGAAGUAUGCGGAAUGCGUGGUGUAGCGGUGAAAUGCUUAGAUAUCACGAAGAACUCCGAUUGCGAAGGCAGUUCACUGGACUGCAACUGACACUGAGGCUCGAAAGUGUGGGUAUCAAACAGGAUUAGAUACCCCAGUAGUC
Molecule: ribosomal RNA, 460 nt
Filed under: uncultured bacterium
Lineage: Bacteria
Description: partial 16S ribosomal RNA
Rfam family: Bacterial small subunit ribosomal RNA
Source: RNAcentral